AACGUAGGAGGCAAGCGUUAUCCGGAGUUACUGGGCGUAAAGCGCGUGUAGGUGGAUUGGUAAGUUACUUAUAAAAGCUCCUGGCUAAACUAGGAGAGGUUGAGUGAUACUGCCAGUCUUGAAUAGAGGAGAGGUUAACGGAAUUCCGCGUGUAGUGGUGAAAUGCGUAGAGAUGCGGAAGAACACCAGUGGCGAAGGCGGUCAACUGGCCUCAUAUUGACACUCAGACGCGAAGGCAUGGGUAGCGAACGGG
RNAcentral lists this ribosomal RNA (253 nucleotides) under uncultured bacterium. RNAcentral's name for it is "partial 16S ribosomal RNA". It matches the Rfam family "Bacterial small subunit ribosomal RNA", at positions 524 to 776 of the family's 1533-position model. The record is from RNAcentral.